This is an RNA transcript of Fragaria vesca subsp. vesca, 452 nucleotides long. RefSeq lists it as uncharacterized. The record is from RefSeq and is a predicted model, not a curated record. The transcript is spliced from 2 exons. Lineage: Eukaryota; Viridiplantae; Streptophyta; Magnoliopsida; Rosales; Rosaceae.
GACGAGACUUUAAGCCAAAAAGAAGGCACCAGAAAUCUGAGAGUCGCGGCGAGAGAGAAAGAGGAAGAAGAAGAUGAUACACAGGAAAUGGAGUCUGCUGACUGGGCCCGUCGCCGUAUUGGGAGGCAUAGUCGCCACGGUCGUCGUCACCCACUUCGUCUUCGUCGGUAACGAUCGAUUUCUCAAGACAGAUCCAAGGAAGGCAGAAGCCGCCACUUCAAGCAAAUAGAAUGAGGGGGAUGAAGAGUUGCAUCGUAAUGGGACUCUGUUUGUCUGCUGAACAUGUUGAGUGUUGCUAGUCUCAGGCAUGACUUGUUAGUUAAUAAGCUAGAAUUGCAAUUUGGGUUAUGAUUUAAGGUUGUGGAGUCAGUUCUUGAAUAAGGAUUCUGUGUUAAAUUGACUUGGCUUGAUUUCAAGUUAAUAAAACCAAAUUGCAUUGCUUUUAUUAUAUA